AGGACGAACGCUGGCGGCGUGCUUAACACAUGCAAGUCAAGGGGGCCCAGCAAUGGGCAACCGGCGAACGGGUGCGUAACACGUAAGCAACCUACCGAAAUGUGGGGGAUAGCCGGCCUAACGGCCGAGUAAUACCGCAUACGCUCUCGAUGAGGCAUUUCAUUGAGAGGAAACCUACGGGACAUUUCGAGGGGCUCGCGGCCUAUCAGCUAGUUGGCGAGGUAACGGCUCACCAAGGCAACGACGGGUAGC
RNAcentral lists this ribosomal RNA (252 nucleotides) under uncultured soil bacterium. RNAcentral describes it as "partial 16S ribosomal RNA". It matches the Rfam family "Bacterial small subunit ribosomal RNA", at positions 26 to 287 of the family's 1533-position model. The record is from RNAcentral.